RNAcentral lists this ribosomal RNA (515 nucleotides) under uncultured bacterium. Its description in RNAcentral is "bacterial SSU rRNA". It matches the Rfam family "Bacterial small subunit ribosomal RNA", at positions 1 to 541 of the family's 1533-position model. The record is from RNAcentral.
UAGAGUUUGAUUCUGGCUCAGGACGAACGCUGGCGGCGUGCCUAACACAUGCAAGUCGAGCGAUGAAACCCUUCGGGGUGGAUUAGCGGCGGACGGGUGAGUAACACGUGGGUAACCUGCCUCAAAGAGGGGAAUAGCCUUCCGAAAGGAAGAUUAAUACCGCAUAAUAUGUUCUGGUCGCAUGACCUAGACAUCAAAGGAGUAAUCCGCUUUGAGAUGGACCCGCGGCGCAUUAGCUAGUUGGUGAGGUAACGGCUCACCAAGGCGACGAUGUGUAGCCGACCUGAGAGGGUGAUCGGCCACAUUGGAACUGAGACACGGUCCAGACUCCUACGGGAGGCAGCAGUGGGGAAUAUUGCGCAAUGGGGGAAACCCUGACGCAGCAACGCCGCGCGAAUGAUGAAGGCCUUCGGGUUGUAAAGUUCUGUCUUCUGGGACGAUAAUGACGGUACCAGAGGAGGAAGCCACGGCUGACUACGUGCCAGCAGCCGCGGUAAUACGUAGGUGGCAAGCGU